GCAGGACAAAUAAUCAUUGAUGGCAUCGAUAUCUCCUCCAUUGGCCUUCACGACCUCCGUGGCCGUCUCAGCAUCAUUCCCCAAGACCCCACCUUGUUUGAAGGCACUAUUCGAGGAAACCUCGACCCUCUCGAAGAACACACUGAUCAAGAAGUUUGGCAGGCUCUAGAUAAGUCACAGUUGGGGGACAUAGUUCGUGCGAAAGACCAGAAGCUCGAUACUCCAGGUAUAUAGUAAAUCUUGACGUUAGAUUGAGAAGUAAGAAAAAGAAUGCUUGUGAACGGCUCGAACCAUUUGUCUUCACAUGUUGUUGGGAACUUUGUUUCAGCUCCUGCUCUGGCUUUCCUCUGCUUCGUGGCUCUCAGAGGUGUAUCAGGUCUUCGAGUUAUUACUACACAUUCACAUCUUCUUGACCCUCUGCUUGUCGAAGAUGAAGAAGAAGAAGAAGAGAAAGCUGGGUGUCUCAGUGUUACUUCCUAUAGUGACGCCGGGUUGUUCAGCCUCGCUACGCUUUCGUGGCUGAAUCCUCUCCUCUCUCUUGGCGCCAAGAGGCCGUUGGAUCUCAAGGACAUUCCUCUGCUCGCUCCCAAAGACCGGGCAAAGACCAACUACAGAAUCUUGAACUUUAACUGGGAGAAGUUAAAGGCUGAGAAUCCCUCGAAACCGCCUUCUCUCGCUUGGGCCAUCUUGAAGUCGUUUUGGAAAGAAGCGGCUUGUAAUGCAGUCUUUGCUGGCUUGAACACUCUUGUUUCUUAUGUGGGUCCUUAUUUGGUGAAUGACUUUGUUAAUUAUCUGGGUGGGAAAGAGACUUACCCUCACGAGGGUUACAUCCUCGCUGGUAUCUUCUUUGCGGCCAAACUCGCAGAGACUUUGACAACCCGGCAGUGGUAUCUUGGUGUGGAUAUCUUGGGGAUGCAUGUCAGAUCAGCUCUAACGGCUAUGGUGUACAGAAAAGGGCUCAAACUCUCGAGUAUAACCAAGCAGAACCACACGAGCGGCGAGAUUGUGAACUACAUGGCCGUUGAUGUCCAGAGAGUAGGUGACUACUCUUGGUACCUUCAUGAUAUGUGGAUGCUUCCUCUACAGAUUGUACUUGCUCUCGGGAUCUUGUACAGGAGUGUGGGAAUGGCGGCUGUAGCUACGUUGGCGGCCACAGUUUUCUCUAUUAUCGCCACCAUCCCAUUGGCCAAAGUCCAAGAGGACUAUCAAGACAAAUUGAUGUCUGCUAAAGAUGAGCGGAUGAGGAAGACUUCGGAGUGUUUGAGGAACAUGAGGAUUCUGAAACUGCAGGCUUGGGAGGAUCGGUACAGGGUCGUGCUUGAGGGAAUGAGGAGCACGGAGUUCAAAUGGCUUCGAAAGGCUUUAUACUCCCAAGCGUUUAUCACGUUUAUAUUCUGGAGUUCGCCUAUCUUCGUAGCUGCAAUCACGUUUGCUACGGCCAUAGGCCUAGGAACUCAGCUCACUGCAGGAGGCGUUCUCUCUGCGCUUGCAACGUUCAGGAUUCUUCAGGAGCCGCUUAGGAAUUUUCCUGAUCUGGUGUCAAUGAUGGCUCAGACUAAAGUGUCUCUUGAUCGUAUAUCGGGGUUUCUGCAAGAGGAAGAGCUCCAGGAAGACGCUACGAUAAUCCUUUCUCAAGGUAUGACAGAGACAUCUGUGGAGAUCAAAGACGGUUGUUUCUCUUGGGAUCCUUCGUGGGUAAGGCCAACUUUGUUUGAUAUUCAUCUAAACGUCAAGAGAGGAAUGCGAGUAGCUGUUUGCGGAGUCGUCGGUUCCGGAAAAUCAAGUUUUCUUUCUUGUAUACUUGGAGAAAUACCUAAAAUCUCGGGUGAAGUAAGUGAAACACUUGAACAACUUUCGAAACAUGUGUGUCUGUCUUCAAUAUUUUUCAGGCCUAAUCAAAUUUGACGAGUUGUACACUGAAAUACACAGGUCAGAAUAUGCGGUAGUGCUGCUUAUGUUUCACAAUCCGCAUGGAUCCAGUCUGGGAAUAUAGAAGAAAAUAUUCUCUUCGGCAGUCCAAUGGACAAGGCCAAGUACAAGAACGUUAUACACGCUUGCUCACUGAAACGGGACUUGGAGCUCUUCUCACAUGGUGAUCAGACCAUUAUCGGUGACAGAGGCAUAAACCUCAGCGGUGGUCAGAAGCAGAGAGUUCAGCUAGCGAGAGCGCUUUACCAGGAUGCUGAUGUAUAUCUGCUAGACGACCCUUUCAGCGCUGUUGACGCUCACACUGGCUCCGAACUCUUCAAGGUGCACCUUUUCUUUUCUACUUCUUUCCAAAUAAACAAACAACUACCUUUUUCAAACACUGCCUUGCGUGAAUGCGACUCCCUUCAUCAAGCUUGAGUUUGCGUAUCUACAGGAAUAUAUAUUGACGGCUCUGGCAGACAAGACUGUGAUAUUUGUAACUCAUCAAGUCGAGUUUCUUCCUACCACGGAUCUUAUAUUGGUGAGGACUUCUUCUGCCAUUGCCCUUCUGCUAAAAAUGUUAUACCAAGAGCUGUUUUUAAUGUUAAGACACAGAGAAAAGUAUAUAACACCAAGAAACCACUUGAUGAAAUUUUUGUGUUUAUCUGCAGGUCCUUAGGGAUGGCCAAAUUAUACAGUCAGGUAAGUAUGAGGAACUGCUACAAGCAGGAACGGAUUUCUUAUCACUUGUGUCUGCUCAUCAUGAAGCAAUUGAAGCAAUGGACAUUCCAAGCCAUUCAUCAGAGGACUCUGAUAAAACGGCUUAUAAAUAAGAAGCAACAUGAAUACGGCUGGGGGAGAUUUGAACAAAGUGAACUUGGAAGCAGAAGAGAUCGAACAUGGGAAAUGUCAUUGGUCAGAACAUAGGAAAUGUACGCUUCUAAUGUAAAUAGCAGAAAUGCAAAGAGGAAUUGCGACUGGACAUCAUCUUCAUUUAAUGUAUUGAAAUCGCUGUCCGUAAGGAAAAUACUCAGUAAAAAAAUCUCUAAAACCAAAACUUUUCUUGUUUUUAUUUUUAAUCUUUCAUGUUAUUGUUUUUAUUUAAUAAUCUUUCAUGUUAUUGGUUUUAUUUUGUUAGUUUAGAAUUAUAAUUUGAUGAAGUACAAAGUAGUGUUUGAUUAUAUAUAUAUAUAAAAUCAUUGACAAAACAUAAUAAAGUUUGGGUCGUUUCAAUGCACAAAUAUUAUAAGGUUUACAAACAAAACAUUGACAAAACAAAGAAAAAAAUAAGAAAUUUGAAACAAAUAAAAAUGUGAUGUUUGUUGAAUGUGUUAAUUUAAGUGUUAGAAUAACUAUAAUGACAAAAGAUAUCACAAUAAUUACAAUAAUAAAAAGUUUAGUUUUUUGAUUAAAAAGUUUACAAUCGUUUUAAACUUUUUAUAAAAAUAAAACUUUAUAAAAAUUUUUUUAUAAAGUUUAUUUAAUGGUUUUAUUAAAAAAAUGAAUAAAGUUUUGUUUUUAUUUUUAUAAAUUUAAAAGGUUUGUUUUUGUUAAAGUUUUAUUAAAAACAGUUUACAAAGUUUUAUUUUUAUUAAAUACGUUUUACAAAGUUUUAUUUUUAUUUUUUUUACAUACGUUUUAAUAAUGCUAAAAUUUAAAAGUAAUAAAAAUUAAAAAAUAUUUUCAAAAAAGUAUAAUAAAAAUUUUAAUAUUUUUUAAUAAAAAUGAAUAGUGCAUACACUUUUAGGGAAGUUGGAAUCUUAUAAAUAUUUGUAUUGAUAUUUUUGACAGGGUAAAUCGACCAAAUCACGUUUUAGGGAAAUUAGUAUUUUACAAAUAUUUUUAAAAUAUUUUCUUAACUGAAACUUCCAUAAUUUUCGCUAAAGUCAAAUUCUCUUAUCCGUAGAAGGUACUUUAUACACUGCGUAGAACCAAGAUAAAAAUCUCAUAAGUUGAUUCUACCUCAUAUAGACGUAUGAGCAUUGUCUAAAUUUUGCAUUCCGAGAAUCUUAGAAUAUCUCAUAAAAGUAGAAACUGCAUUCUGAGAAAAAGUACCUAUUUUUACAACUAGUAGAAUUCGCAUUCCAUAUAUUUAAAAGUUUAAUUAAAAAUAGAGUGUUCAUUCUAAAAAAACUAGACGAACUUGUUUAAUAUGGAAUUCAAUUUCUACUAAUUCAUUUUCCGUAGAAGACGAAAUCUGUUUUUAGUAGAACGUAAAUUAAAUUUUAAUUUAUCAAGUUUUUCAAUAAAAAGAAUAUCAGUUUGUGUAUAUGAAUGUUUUAUUAAUUGUCUCUAUUUUUCUAUUUUUUUAUUCAUAAAACUAUUUACAUUUCAUUAAAUUUUAGUAAUGAAAAGAGUAAAAAAAAAAUGGACAAAAAAAAUUUUAUACUAAAAAGACAACUAUACUAUUUUUUGAUCCAUUUUGGCAAUUUUCCCAAUAAAUAACCGGACACUACUGCUAUUUAAGGCCAUAUAUAAUAUGAUUGCGUCUGAAGAUCGAAAAACCUCGACUGCGUCUACAUUAUAUAUAAUCUGGUGUAUGUAUGCGUGUGUGAGAGAGAGAGUUUCAGAUUUAAAGGUACGAAGAAGAAGAAGAAGAGGAGAAAGCAAAUCCAAAUUGAUCCUACAUUUUGCGACUCAAUCUCUCUCUCUCUCUCUGUUGUAACGCCAUUAUCACACACAGCUGGAAACAUCUCUUCUACUCUCUCUCUCUUCUCGGCUAGGGCGGGGAGAGAGAAAGAGAAGCCACAUUGUCUUCCAUCACAGGUUUUGUCAUAAAUUUAAAUUUUUCAUGUGUGUGUGUUUUGUCUUCUUGUGUCUUUCUCUAGAUAACAUCGAUGCAACACAACAAAAAGUCGUUUAGGCUCUGAUGUGUUAUUCAACGUGUUAGGCUCUGACGAAAAGUCGUUUUGGUAACAUGUGCGAUGUGUCUUUCAGGCUCUGCGUUUCUCUCUACCACCGUCGUGACUCCUCUGCUCAUAAGACACAUCUUUACUCUCGCUUCUUCCUCUGCUUACAUUACAUUGAAUUGAACUGCUCUUUCUUCAAUGCUCUCUAGCUCAGAAAUCUCAUUAAUCUAAUUAUGAGUAUGGGCACGCUCUUGAGAGCUCUUCGUGACUUACCACUCGUGGAAGCGUCUUCGAUCUGCAUCACUUUGGCUCUUCUCUUAGUGUUUAUCAUCGAUAUCUCCGCCAGACGCUUGCUUCUCUGCCUCCGUCGCGGUCCUUUCCUCAAACACGACUCUGUAGGAAACUCUAGUUCCGGAGACGCCCGCGAGCUUCAAGUCACCAUUGGUUACAAAUUCUCGGUUCUUUGCUGUUUCUUUGUCUUAAUCGUGCACGUUUCGGUUUUAGUGUUGGAUGUUGUCGGAGUAGCUAAGGAAAGAAACGAGAUUAGUGUUCUUUUCUCGCCGGUUACAGAGGUUGUAGCUUGGUUAGUGUUGUGCGCAUCAGUUGUUCGAUGUAAUUACACCUCUGCGGAAAAGUUUCCUUUGCUGCUGAGGCUGUGGUGGGUUGUGGGCUUCUUGAUUUGUUUAUGGGCUUUGUUCAUAGACUCCAGAGAGAUUCUUGUGAACGGCUCGAACCAUUUGUCUUCACAUGUUGUUGGGAACUUUGUUUCAGCUCCUGCUCUGGCUUUCCUCUGCUUCGUGGCUCUCAGAGGUGUAUCAGGUCUUCGAGUUAUUACUACACAUUCACAUCUUCUUGACCCUCUGCUUGUCGAAGAUGAAGAAGAAGAAGAAGAGAAAGCUGGGUGUCUCAGUGUUACUUCCUAUAGUGACGCCGGGUUGUUCAGCCUCGCUACGCUUUCGUGGCUGAAUCCUCUCCUCUCUCUUGGCGCCAAGAGGCCGUUGGAUCUCAAGGACAUUCCUCUGCUCGCUCCCAAAGACCGGGCAAAGACCAACUACAGAAUCUUGAACUUUAACUGGGAGAAGUUAAAGGCUGAGAAUCCCUCGAAACCGCCUUCUCUCGCUUGGGCCAUCUUGAAGUCGUUUUGGAAAGAAGCGGCUUGUAAUGCAGUCUUUGCUGGCUUGAACACUCUUGUUUCUUAUGUGGGUCCUUAUUUGGUGAAUGACUUUGUUAAUUAUCUGGGUGGGAAAGAGACUUACCCUCACGAGGGUUACAUCCUCGCUGGUAUCUUCUUUGCGGCCAAACUCGCAGAGACUUUGACAACCCGGCAGUGGUAUCUUGGUGUGGAUAUCUUGGGGAUGCAUGUCAGAUCAGCUCUAACGGCUAUGGUGUACAGAAAAGGGCUCAAACUCUCGAGUAUAACCAAGCAGAACCACACGAGCGGCGAGAUUGUGAACUACAUGGCCGUUGAUGUCCAGAGAGUAGGUGACUACUCUUGGUACCUUCAUGAUAUGUGGAUGCUUCCUCUACAGAUUGUACUUGCUCUCGGGAUCUUGUACAGGAGUGUGGGAAUGGCGGCUGUAGCUACGUUGGCGGCCACAGUUUUCUCUAUUAUCGCCACCAUCCCAUUGGCCAAAGUCCAAGAGGACUAUCAAGACAAAUUGAUGUCUGCUAAAGAUGAGCGGAUGAGGAAGACUUCGGAGUGUUUGAGGAACAUGAGGAUUCUGAAACUGCAGGCUUGGGAGGAUCGGUACAGGGUCGUGCUUGAGGGAAUGAGGAGCACGGAGUUCAAAUGGCUUCGAAAGGCUUUAUACUCCCAAGCGUUUAUCACGUUUAUAUUCUGGAGUUCGCCUAUCUUCGUAGCUGCAAUCACGUUUGCUACGGCCAUAGGCCUAGGAACUCAGCUCACUGCAGGAGGCGUUCUCUCCGCGCUUGCAACGUUCAGGAUUCUUCAGGAGCCGCUUAGGAAUUUUCCUGAUCUGGUGUCAAUGAUGGCUCAGACUAAAGUGUCUCUUGAUCGUAUAUCGGGGUUUCUGCAAGAGGAAGAGCUCCAGGAAGACGCUACGAUAAUCCUUUCUCAAGGUAUGACAGAGACAUCUGUGGAGAUCAAAGACGGUUGUUUCUCUUGGGAUCCUUCGUGGGUAAGGCCAACUUUGUUUGAUAUUCAUCUAAACGUCAAGAGAGGAAUGCGAGUAGCUGUUUGCGGAGUCGUCGGUUCCGGAAAAUCAAGUUUUCUUUCUUGUAUACUUGGAGAAAUACCUAAAAUCUCGGGUGAAGUAAGUGAAACACUUGAACAACUUUCGAAACAUGUGUGUCUGUCUUCAAUAUUUUUCAGGCCUAAUCAAAUUUGACGAGUUGUACACUGAAAUACACAGGUCAGAAUAUGCGGUAGUGCUGCUUAUGUUUCACAAUCCGCAUGGAUCCAGUCUGGGAAUAUAGAAGAAAAUAUUCUCUUCGGCAGUCCAAUGGACAAGGCCAAGUACAAGAACGUUAUACACGCUUGCUCACUGAAACGGGACUUGGAGCUCUUCUCACAUGGUGAUCAGACCAUUAUCGGUGACAGAGGCAUAAACCUCAGCGGUGGUCAGAAGCAGAGAGUUCAGCUAGCGAGAGCGCUUUACCAGGAUGCUGAUGUAUAUCUGCUAGACGACCCUUUCAGCGCUGUUGACGCUCACACUGGCUCCGAACUCUUCAAGGUGCACCUUUUCUUUUCUACUUCUUUCCAAAUAAACAAACAACUACCUUUUUCAAACACUGCCUUGCGUGAAUGCGACUCCCUUCAUCAAGCUUGAGUUUGCGUAUCUACAGGAAUAUAUAUUGACGGCUCUGGCAGACAAGACUGUGAUAUUUGUAACUCAUCAAGUCGAGUUUCUUCCUACCACGGAUCUUAUAUUGGUGAGGACUUCUUCUGCCAUUGCCCUUCUGCUAAAAAUGUUAUACCAAGAGCUGUUUUUAAUGUUAAGACACAGAGAAAAGUAUAUAACACCAAGAAACCACUUGAUGAAAUUUUUGUGUUUAUCUGCAGGUCCUUAGGGAUGGCCAAAUUAUACAGUCAGGUAAGUAUGAGGAACUGCUACAAGCAGGAACGGAUUUCUUAUCACUUGUGUCUGCUCAUCAUGAAGCAAUUGAAGCAAUGGACAUUCCAAGCCAUUCAUCAGAGGACUCUGAUAGCCAUCAUGGGAUAGACCAGUCAUUGCCACACAAUCCAAAAUCCAACGCUUCCUCGAGCAACAUUGAGAUUCUGGCCAAGGAGGUCCAAGAAGGGCCGUCGGGGUCUAACCAGAAAGCCACCAAAGAGAAAAAGAAAGCGAAACGGCUAAGGAAGAAACAACUGGUUCAGGACGAGGAACGUGUCCGGGGACGAGUCAGUAUGAAGGUGUACUGGUCAUAUAUGGCUGCAGCCUAUAAAGGGCUGUUGAUUCCGCUCAUAAUCAUUGCGCAGACUCUGUUUCAGUUCCUUCAGAUUGCAAGUAACUGGUGGAUGGCCUGGGCAAAUCCGCAAACAGAGGGAGACCAAGCUAAAGUGAGCUCCACGGUCCUUCUCCUUGUAUUUAUUGCGCUAGCGUUUGGUAGCUCAGUAUUUAUCUUUGUCCGAGCGAUUCUGGUCGCCACGUUCGGCCUCGUAGCUGCUCAGAAGCUGUUUCUGAACAUGCUCAGGAGUGUUUUCCGCGCGCCAAUGUCGUUUUUCGACUCGACUCCUGCUGGAAGGAUCUUAAAUCGGGUUGGUUCUCUUUUUAAUUUAUUUAUUUUUAUUUAUUAAAACAUGACUAUGACGUCUUCUCUUCAUUGAUGGUCUUUCUCAUUGCUAUUUUAGGUGUCCAUUGAUCAAAGCGUGGUGGAUCUUGAUAUUCCUUUUAGGCUCGGAGGAUUUGCAUCAACAACAAUACAGCUCAUUGGCAUUGUUGGUGUGAUGACAAACGUUACAUGGCAAGUGUUUCUUCUUGUAAUUCCAACUGGCAUUGCUUGCUUGUGGAUGCAGGUGAUUUCUGGUUAAUUUCUGAAGAUUCGUUUUUAUGAUACUUAAAGGGAUACAACAAAUUCAAAGUAUUUGACUUAUUUCUCUUAGUAUUACACGAUUUAACAGCAAAGUGUUUUUUUGCACUUAAAAAACGCAGAAAUACUACAUGGCAUCGUCUAGAGAGCUGGUUCGGAUAGUGAGCAUACAGAAAUCUCCAAUUAUCCAUCUAUUUGGGGAGUCAAUCGCGGGUGCAGCAACAAUCAGAGGGUUUGGCCAAGAAAAGCGUUUCAUGAAGAGAAACCUCUAUUUACUGGACUGCUUUGCCCGCCCUUUCUUUUGCAGCAUCGCUGCUAUAGAAUGGCUCUGUUUACGCAUGGAGCUGCUUUCUACUUUCGUCUUUGCCUUCUGCAUGAUCCUGCUCGUUAGCUUUCCACAUGGAACAAUCGAUCCAAGCAAGUUCUUCUCUUCGUCCUCUUUACUCUAUAGAUCGUUAGAAGGCUAUCUAUCAUGUUUACUGAGUUCAUCAUAUAUAUUACCUUUUUGUAUUAGGCAUGGCUGGUCUUGCAGUAACGUAUGGCCUUAAUUUAAACGCUCGCCUGUCCCGGUGGAUACUUAGCUUUUGUAAGCUCGAGAACAAAAUCAUCUCCAUCGAGAGAAUCUAUCAGUAUAGUCAGAUUCCCAGUGAGGCCCCUACGUUCAUCGAGGACGCUCACCCUCCUCCCUCGUGGCCAGAAAAUGGAGCCAUUGAGAUCAACAAUUUGAAGGUAUAAUUCGAAUUGUUCAUUCUGUUGAACUUCUCGCUAUAGCUUUUAAUUCAUCCUCCUUUGGUUAAAGGUUCGCUAUGGAGAGAAUCUACCAACUGUACUCCACGGAGUCAACUGUGUAUUCCCUGGUGGCAAGAAGAUUGGGAUUGUGGGGCGCACAGGAAGUGGCAAAUCAACACUGAUCCAAGCGCUGUUCAGGCUGAUAGAGCCAUAUGCAGGACAAAUAAUCAUUGAUGGCAUUGAUAUCUCUUCCAUUGGCCUUCACGAUCUCCGUGGCCGUCUCAGCAUCAUUCCCCAAGACCCCACUUUGUUUGAAGGCACUAUCCGAGGAAACCUCGACCCUCUCGAAGAACACACUGAUCAAGAAGUUUGGCAGGCUCUAGAUAAGUCACAGUUGGGGGACAUAGUUCGUGCGAAAGACCAGAAGCUCG
RNAcentral lists this long non-coding RNA (9907 nucleotides) under Brassica napus (rape). Its description in RNAcentral is "long non-coding RNA (BNAP_LNC007447)". Lineage: Eukaryota; Viridiplantae; Streptophyta; Magnoliopsida; Brassicales; Brassicaceae. The record is from RNAcentral.